GACUUUAAUAAAAAGAUAUUUUGAAAGUAUCUAACAAGAAUUAUUCUUUGGAGUCA
This 56-nucleotide transfer RNA is filed under the name Araneus quadratus. Its description in RNAcentral is "tRNA-Ser". The record is from RNAcentral. Lineage: Eukaryota; Metazoa; Arthropoda; Arachnida; Araneae; Araneidae.